GUGGGGAGUAUCGAUUUGAGAAAGGAAACAGCUUCUCUCACUACAGUGUCGUCUCAUACCCCAGUCUCAUACCCCACACCCUCCCUGUCCUUCGUUUACUUCUGGAUCUGUGCUGGUGUGCUGACGCAGCCAGGACAGGUGAAGGUCACUAUUCACCCUUGUAGAGCUGUGUGACUAGAAACCUGCUUUGAAAGAAAACUGAAUCCAUUGCUCCAGGACCUACAGGUGAGAGAUUUUGCUCGCUCCAAGUCCUGCUGUUCUGAGAGCCUUCCCAAGGCUUUAUGAUGUUACCAAAC
Molecule: non-coding RNA, 296 nt
Organism: Peromyscus maniculatus bairdii (prairie deer mouse)
Lineage: Eukaryota; Metazoa; Chordata; Mammalia; Rodentia; Cricetidae
Source: RefSeq, a predicted model, not a curated record